UAGCUAGUUGGUGAGGUAAAGGCUUACCAAGGCGACGAUCUGUAGCGGGUCUGAGAGGAUGAUCCGCCACACUGGAACUGAGACACGGUCCAGACUCCUACGGGAGGCAGCAGUGGGGAAUUUUGGACAAUGGGGGCAACCCUGAUCCAGCCAUGCCGCGUGAGUGAAGAAGGCCUUCGGGUUGUAAAGCUCUUUCGGCCGGGAAGAAAUCGCAUGGGCCAAUACCCUGUGUGGAUGACGGUACCGGAAUAAGAAGCACCGGCUAACUACGUGCCAGCAGCCGCGGUAAUACGUAGGGUGCGAGCGUUAAUCGGAAUUACUGGGCGUAAAGCGUGCGCAGGCGGUUUUGUAAGACAGGCGUGAAAUCCCCGGGCUUAACCUGGGAACUGCGUUUGUGACUGCAAGGCUAGAGUACGGCAGAGGGGGGUGGAAUUCACGUGUAGCAGUGAAAUGCGUAGAGAUGUGGAGGAACACCAAUGGCGAAGGCAGCCCCCUGGGUCGAUACUGACGCUCAUGCACGAAAGCGUGGGUAGCAAACAGGAUUAGAUACCCUGGUAGUCCACGCCCUAAACUAUGUCAACUAGGUGUUGGGUGGGUAAAACCAUUUAGUACCGUAGCUAACGCGUGAAGUUGACCGCCUGGGGAGUACGGCCGCAAGGUUAAAACUCAAAGGAAUUGACGGGGACCCGCACAAGCGGUGGAUGAUGUGGAUUAAUUCGAUGCAACGCGAAAAACCUUACCUACCCUUGACAUGCCAGGAACUUGCCAGAGAUGGCUUGGUGCCCGAAAGGGAGCCUGGACACAGGUGCUGCAUGGCUGUCGUCAGCUCGUGUCGUGAGAUGUUGGGUUAAGUCCCGCAACGAGCGCAACCCUUGUCGUUAAUUGCCAUCAUUUAGUUGGGCACUUUAACGAGACUGCCGGUGACAAACCGGAGGAAGGUGGGGAUGACGUCAAGUCCUCAUGGCCCUUAUGGGUAGGGCUUCACACGUCAUACAAUGGUCGGUACAAAGGGUUGCCAAGCCGCGAGGCGGAGCCAAUCCCAGAAAGCCGAUCGUAGUCCGGAUUGCAGGCUGCAACUCGCCUGCAUGAAGUCGGAAUCGCUAGUAAUCGUGGAUCAGCAUGUCACGGUGAAUACGUUCCCGGGUCUUGUACACACCGCCCGUCACACCAUGGGAGCGGGUUCCGCCAGAAGUAGGUAGCCUAACCGCAAGGGGGGCGCUUACCACGGCGGGGUUCGUGACUGGGGUGAAGUCGUAACAAGGUAGCCGUAGGGGAACCUGCGGCUG
This 1286-nucleotide ribosomal RNA is filed under the name metagenome. RNAcentral's name for it is "bacterial SSU rRNA". It matches the Rfam family "Bacterial small subunit ribosomal RNA", at positions 242 to 1520 of the family's 1533-position model. The record is from RNAcentral.